CGCAAAUAAGGAAACCGCUGCGUCACUUUGCUGCGAUGUAAACAAGCAAACAGCUGCAUCUGUUCGCUGCCUCACAAACACACUAACCGGUGCGUCUCUUCGCCACCUCACAGAACGAGUAACCACUGUGGAUGUUCGCUGUCUCACAAAAAAGCAGACUGCUGCGUCUGUUCGCUGCCUCGCCAGCUAGCCAAGUGCUGCCUCGCUUCACCUCCACGCCAAAAAGCAAUCCGCGAUGCAACCGCGCCACCUGCUGGACAAGCAAAGUGCUGCGUCUCUUCGCUGCCUUGCCGAAAAAUGAGCCACUCUGCACGUUGGCUGUCUCACAGACAAGCAGACUGAAUGAAUCUGUUCGCUGCCUCGCCAACAAGCAAAGCNCUCGAUCUCUUCGCUGCCUCGCAAACUAAGCAACCGAUGCG
RNAcentral lists this long non-coding RNA (419 nucleotides) under Apteryx haastii (Great spotted kiwi). Its description in RNAcentral is "lncRNA (ENSAHAG00000008904.1)". The record is from RNAcentral. Lineage: Eukaryota; Metazoa; Chordata; Aves; Apterygiformes; Apterygidae.